GAUGAACGCUAGCGGCAGGCCUAAUACAUGCAAGUCGAACGGUAAGGCCCUUUCGGGGGUACACGAGUGGCGGACGGGUGCGUAACGCGUAUGCAACAUGCCUUCCAGCGGGGGAUAUACCAGGGAAACUUGGCGCAAUACCCCAUAGAAUUACGGGACCGCAUGGUCUUGUGAUUAAAACUCCGGUGCUGGGAGAUUGGCAUGCGUGACAUUAGCUAGUUGGCGGGGUAACGGCCCACCAAGGCGACGAUGUCUAGCUGGUCUGAGAGGAUGAUCAGCCACACUGGGACUGAGACACGGCCCAGACUCCUACGGGAGGCAGCAGUAGGGAAUAUUGGACAAU
This 343-nucleotide ribosomal RNA is filed under the name uncultured bacterium. Its description in RNAcentral is "bacterial SSU rRNA". It matches the Rfam family "Bacterial small subunit ribosomal RNA", at positions 28 to 372 of the family's 1533-position model. The record is from RNAcentral.